UAGACAGACAUUAGCAGGCUUGGGAGCCC
RNAcentral lists this non-coding RNA (29 nucleotides) under Mus musculus (house mouse). The record is from RNAcentral. Lineage: Eukaryota; Metazoa; Chordata; Mammalia; Rodentia; Muridae.